RNAcentral lists this ribosomal RNA (286 nucleotides) under uncultured bacterium. Its description in RNAcentral is "partial 16S ribosomal RNA". It matches the Rfam family "Bacterial small subunit ribosomal RNA", at positions 28 to 337 of the family's 1533-position model. The record is from RNAcentral.
GAUAAACGCUGGCGGCGUGCCUAACACAUGCAAGUCGAACGCCCUGGAGCAAUUCAGGGAGUGGCGGACGGGUGAGGAACACGUGGGUGAUCUGCCUUGAGGUGAGGAAUACCGGCGAGAAAUCGCCGACAAUACCGCAUAGGUUCGUAAGAACAAAGUCGCAAGACGCCUUGAGAUGAGCCUGCGUCCGAUUAGCCAGUUGGUGGGUAAUGGCCUACCAAAGCAGCGAUCGGUAGCUGGUCUGAGAGGACGAUCAGCCACACUGGGAUUGAGAACGGCCCAGACU